UUUGGUAGUAAUAUCCGAUUAUUUAGUGGCGAACGGGUGCGUAACACGUGGGUGACAUGCCGGGAAGCGAGGGAUAGCCCAGGGAAACUUGGAUUAAUACCUCAUGUGGUCGAGAGACUAAAGGCGCAAGCCGCUUCCUGAUUGGCCCGCGGCCUAUCAGCUAGUUGGUGAGGUAAAGGCUCACCAAGGCUACGACGGGUAGCUGGUCUUAGAGGACGACCAGCCACACUGGAACUGAGACACGGUCCAGACACCUACGGGUGGCAGCAGUCGAGAAUCUUUCACAAUGGGGGCAACCCUGAUGGAGCGACGCCGCGUGGAGGAUAAGGUCUUCGGAUUGUAAACUCCUGUCAUGCGAGAGCAAAGCCUGUAAAGGUCUGAUAGUAUCGCAAGAGGAAGAGACGGCUAACUCUGUGCCAGCAGCCGCGGUAAUACAGAGGUCUCAAGCGUUGUUCGGAAUCACUGGGCGUAAAGGGUGCGUAGGCGGUGCGGAAAGUCAGAUGUGAAAUCCGGAGGCUUAACCUCCGAAUUGCAUCCGAUACUACCGCGCUAGAGAACUGAAGGGGAGUCUGGAAUUCUCGGUGUAGCAGUGAAAUGCGUAGAUAUCGAGAGGAACACUAGUGGCG
RNAcentral lists this ribosomal RNA (626 nucleotides) under uncultured Verrucomicrobiota bacterium. Its description in RNAcentral is "bacterial SSU rRNA". It matches the Rfam family "Bacterial small subunit ribosomal RNA", at positions 72 to 717 of the family's 1533-position model. Lineage: Bacteria; Pseudomonadati; Verrucomicrobiota. The record is from RNAcentral.